This 342-nucleotide long non-coding RNA is filed under the name Arachis ipaensis. RNAcentral's name for it is "long non-coding RNA (AIPA_LNC002515)". Lineage: Eukaryota; Viridiplantae; Streptophyta; Magnoliopsida; Fabales; Fabaceae. The record is from RNAcentral.
CUUCCAUCACCGUUCAUACUGGUCAAAUCUCUCUCCUCCUUCUACACCCCUCUCUCUCUCUCCUAUUCCAAACCUCCUCUUUCUUUCACGCUGAGGAUGAAGAGGUCUCCUCAGUAUGUUUUCCUUUAACGCUAUGACUUUUGACGACACCCACUCUAAACUUGUGUAUAGAUCUAUCCCACUACCCCAUUCGUCUCCUCCUCUUCUCUCUCUCUCUCUCUGCUCUCUAUCCAUGCCUUUGUCUUAAUACGAAAAAAUUCAUUUUACUUUUACUUUUUUUGUAUAUGUGUCUAUAUUAUUCAUAAGCCAUUGUAAAAAGUUUUGCAAUGUGUAUUUGCCAUA